RNAcentral lists this ribosomal RNA (507 nucleotides) under uncultured bacterium. RNAcentral describes it as "partial 16S ribosomal RNA". It matches the Rfam family "Bacterial small subunit ribosomal RNA", at positions 30 to 523 of the family's 1533-position model. The record is from RNAcentral.
AUUGAACGCUGGCGGCAGGCCUAACACAUGCAAGUCGAGCGGCAGCGGAAGGAAGCUUGCUUUCUUGCCGGCGAGCGGCGGACGGGUGAGUAAGGUAUGGGGAUCUGGCCGAAGGCGGGGGAUAACCACUGGAAACGGUGGCUAAUACCGCAUAAUCUCUAAGGAGCAAAGUGGGGGACCGUUCAGGCCUCGCACCUUCGGAUGAACCCAUAUGAGAUUAGCUAGUAGGUGGGGUAAUGGCUCGCCUAGGCGACGAUCUCUAGCUGGUCUGAGAGGAUGAUCAGCCACACUGGGACUGAGACACGGCCCAGACUCCUACGGGAGGCAGCAGUGGGGAAUAUUGCACAAUGGGCGCAAGCCUGAUGCAGCCAUGCCGCGUGUAUGAAGAAGGCCUUCGGGUUGUAAAGUACUUUCAGUCGUGAGGAAGGUGUUAAGGUUAAUAACCUUAGCAAUUGACGUUAGCGACAGAAGAAGCACCGGCUAACUCCGUGCCAGCCGCCGCCGUAA